RNAcentral lists this ribosomal RNA (486 nucleotides) under uncultured bacterium. RNAcentral's name for it is "partial 16S ribosomal RNA". It matches the Rfam family "Bacterial small subunit ribosomal RNA", at positions 30 to 507 of the family's 1533-position model. The record is from RNAcentral.
AUUGAACGCUGGCGGCAUGCCUUACACAUGCAAGUCGAACGGCAGCACGGUUGCUUGCUCCUGGUACCGAGUGGCGAACGGGUGCGUAUUACGUCGACACCUGUCCUUUAGUUGUGGUUAGCCCGGCGGAAGCCGGAUUAAUACCGCAUCCGAACACCGGAUGCAAGUGGAGGCCCUUCGUCCCUCGCGCUUUCGGGUUGGCCGAUGGCGGAUUAGCUAGUUGGUGGGGUAAAGGCAUACCAAGGCGACGAUCAGUAGCUGGUCUGAGAGGAAGACCAGCCACACUGGAACUGAGACACGGCCCAGACUCCUACGGGAGGCAGCAGUGGGGAAUUUUGGACAAUGGGCGAAAGCCUGAUCCAGCAAUGCCGCGUGUGUGAAGAAGGCCUUCGGGUUGUAAAGCACUUUUGUCCGGAAAGAAAUCCUGGACUCUAAUACAGUCGGGGGAUGACGGUACCGGAAGAAUAAGCACCGGCUAACUACGUG